GGGACUACACUUUCAGGGAUAAUUUCUAUAGUUCGUGACUAGAGAAGGGUUUCUGGCCGUGGAGCCCUGGCAACCACAAGGAGGAGGCCAGCACACUCUCCCAAGCUGAAGUGGCUCUCGGUAAAAUGAUCAUUCUUACUUUCCUUCUGGGAAGCAAGGGGGAGAGGACGCAGUCUGAGUGCA
This 183-nucleotide small nucleolar RNA is filed under the name Carlito syrichta (Philippine tarsier). Its description in RNAcentral is "Small nucleolar RNA U3 (ENSTSYG00000024698.2)". It matches the Rfam family "Small nucleolar RNA U3". Rfam says of the family: Small nucleolar RNAs (snoRNAs) are involved in the processing and modification of rRNA in the nucleolus. There are two main classes of snoRNAs: the box C/D class, and the box H/ACA class. The record is from Rfam by way of RNAcentral. Lineage: Eukaryota; Metazoa; Chordata; Mammalia; Primates; Tarsiidae.